Molecule: ribosomal RNA, 448 nt
Filed under: uncultured bacterium
Lineage: Bacteria
Description: partial 16S ribosomal RNA
Rfam family: Bacterial small subunit ribosomal RNA
Source: RNAcentral
UCCCAGACUCCUACGGGAGGCAGCAGUGGGGAAUAUUGCACAAUGGGGGGAACCCUGAUGCAGCGACGCCGCGUGAGUGAAGAAGUAUUUCGGUAUGUAAAGCUCUAUCAGCAGGGACGAAGAUGACGGUACCUGCAGAAGAAGCCCCGGCUAACUACGUGCCAGCAGCCGCGGUAAUACGUAGGGGGCAAGCGUUAUCCGGAUUUACUGGGUGUAAAGGGGGCGCAGACGGCAGCGCAAGCCAGGAGUGAGAGCCCGGGGCCCAACCCCGGGACUGCUCUUGGAACUGCGCGGCUGGAGUGCAGGAGGGGCAGGCGGAAUUCCUGGUGUAGCGGUGAAAUGCGUAGAUAUCAGGAGGAACACCGGUGGCGAAGGCGGCCUGCUGGACUGCGACUGACGUCGAGGCCCGAAAGCGUGGGGAGCAAACAGGAUUAGAUACCCCAGUAAG